This is a long non-coding RNA of Magnolia sinica, 1209 nucleotides long. RefSeq lists it as uncharacterized. The transcript has 2 exons. The record is from RefSeq and is a predicted model, not a curated record. Lineage: Eukaryota; Viridiplantae; Streptophyta; Magnoliopsida; Magnoliales; Magnoliaceae.
CUUCCCUUUUUCUUUCUCUCUCAGAAAUUCUGGGUAUCAGAUCAUCUCAUCAGGUGGCCCCGACUCAAAAUUUAAAGAUGGCUAACUCUUCUGGUGAAUAUGGACCAUUUCUCAUCUGUUUUAACUGUCCAUCCACUGUCCCAGUGGACCAUCUUGAUAUUUGGCCGGACUCCAUUUGAUGGACGGCCCAGAUUUCACAUCAAAAGUAUGACACUUUCACGUGAUUCUUAUCCUUCCAUCUCUCAGGUUCGUGCCCGGCUUAGUAAAAUACCAUAAUAUCGUUGGUUAUUAUAUAUAGAAUUUUUUUUAAAAGGCUUUUUAAGGCGUUUUGGUAAUUAGAAAGGCGCCUUAAAAUAUCGUUGGUAAAUUAUACAUUCUUAUGGGUGUUUUGGUAAUUAGAUGAUGUUUGGUGGGUGGUGUUUGGGUAUUGACAAAUCUUGUUCCUGGCAAUUUUUCAGCACGCCAAUUUAUCCGCAGAUUUUCAUAUUUGGACAUUUUCCUCACCAUUUUAUUAGUAAAAUCUAGCUGAAAAUAUAUUAUUUAAAAAUAUUUAUUAUAAAUUGCUAAAUAAUUUUCCAUUAAAAUCGCAAUAACAAAUAAGUCAAAGCUUCCAAGAUUUUGAAAAUUUGUCAAUGUUACUGCAAUAAUAUGAUUUAAUCCAAAGUCUGCAAUAAUAUGACAAAAUUUUCAAAAUCUAGGAAUGGCGUUUGGUAAGUUUAUGUGAGGGUUAUUUCAGUUAUUUAUUAGAGACUGUGAUUGUUGGUUAUCAAGAUUAUUAUUAAUAAGUCAUCGAGGAAAGGAAAUAUAUUCUUUAAUACAUCAUAAUCAUAAUUGACUAAAAUUACAUGAAAUUAUUUUCAGGGUUUCUCCUAAAUGGGCCCUUAGAUUUUAUUUGCUGGGGCCCUUUUUUUCUGUCUUCUUUCCUGCUGCUUGGUAGGCAGGGAGUUUUGGUUGAAUAUAUCCAGACCUACUAUGAUAAGUCUGGAUUUAACCAGUUGGAUUUUUAUUUUUCUUAAUGACGUGGACCAAUCAUUUGAUAUGGCUCUACUUGGUUGGACAGGGGAUAACCAAAAAAAUCCUCUCCGAGUUGAAAAUUUAACUGUUUAAUUAUAAUAUGGCUCUGCUUGGUUGGGCAGGGGAUACCCAAAAAACCCUCUCGAGUUGAAAUUUUAACCGUAUAAUUAUAUAAAUGUUAUGGUCUCGGUUUUU